Non-coding RNA from Macaca mulatta (Rhesus monkey), 1738 nucleotides. The record is from RefSeq and is a predicted model, not a curated record. NCBI's taxonomy places the organism in Eukaryota, Metazoa, Chordata, Mammalia, Primates, Cercopithecidae.
UUUGAACUAUAACCACAUAAAUAUCAUUCAUUUAGUGUUGAAAUGUGCAAAUAUACCAUGCAGAGUUAUUUAUACAUUGAAUUCAUCUACAUGAUCUCAUGUGAGCCUUCCAUUCACUAUUAUCACCCUCCCUCUUUUUCAGAUGAGGAAACUCAGACCUUGAGAAGCUGCACGGCUAAUCCAAGGUCAUAAAGCUUGUCAAACCAGGCAAGGAUGCAAAACUAGUUCUCUUGAAUCUGGGUCUCAAGGAAAUCAAGAAGAAGAAGAAGCCAAUCAGAAGAAAACAGUGGCAUCUUCUCACCAUGCAACUAACAUCCUGCUACUUUUGUCCUUGUGCCCUCUGCAUUGCCUCCUAUUUCGAAGGAUGAAGAGCUCAAGCUCCUGGAUUGGGUCUCCUUCCAAGGAGGCGAAUGUUCCGGAUAAACUCUGGGGCGAGAGGCAAUGGCAAACUGAAGAAGUCCUUCCUUUCUAGAGCCAAGUUGUUCACCUUCCAACGGGCAAACUCCCUGGAGGAAAAGCCAAGCGGUAAGGAAAAGCUGACCGCGUUUCAGAGCAAGAGGCAUAAAAUCUGAAGUAGGUAAUGUUCUUCCUCCACUUGCAGCCACUCAUCUCCUCUCAGCCCACAUCCCCCCUCCCGGCCUCCACCCGCUGGAGGUGCCCAGUGUCUGGCAGAGGCCCCUUAGCCUCUCACCUGGCCUGUCAUUCACAUGCUGUAAGAAAGCUCUGUCUCCACUGACCUCCAUCAGAGCCUCUCCCAGCCAACUUUCUCAUCAGGCAGUAGUUGAUUAGCGUAUUCACAUGAAGUCAUGGUUUACAGUAUCGAGUAGGAGAAAAAACACACAUCGGAACAGUGGUUUGCAAAGAUGUGAUCUAAUCACAGCUGUCUUAUAGUGAAUGAGUCACAUCACCUGUCAUGGCCUCAGUUACUCAACUGUGAAGUCAGGAGGCUUGCUCUAGAACCACUGCCCUCAUAUUUUGAUCUCUGAUCCCCUUCACACUGUUAAAAAUUAUUGAAUCCCCAUAUUUGUAUAUGUGGCUUAGAGCUAUUGAGAUUUACCAUUUUGGAAAUUAAAACCAAGAAAAUCAACAUUUGUUAUUUCAUUUAGAGAUAACAUUAAUAAACCCAUUACAUAAAACCUAACAUUUUCAUGACAACUGUAUGUUAUGAAACAAAACAAAUUUAGCAAGAAGAGUGGCAUGACUUUGCAUGUUUGCAAAUCUCUUUAAUAUCAGGCUUAGCAGAAAAGAGCUGCACUCUCAUAUUUGCUUCUACAUUCAAUCUGUUUUCAUAAUUGUGGAUUUUCAUCUUUGGUACUACGCUAAACUAAACAGAUGGUAGUUUCUUAAAGGUUAGUUACAAUAUGGAAUCUGAAAUCAUAUCAGUGAACUUUUCAUGCUUUGUUACAUUAAAUCCAGUGUUCCAUAUUGUAAUCUGAAUGGAUCUUUCUAUCCUGCAUAAUGUUGUAACAUCAUGUGUUGGUCAUCUGGAAAAUAUCAGGUCACCGAGUUAUGCAGAUCUUCCACGUUUUGACACUUUUCAUUAUGUAAUAUUAAAACAUCUCACUAUGUAAUAUCAUGACCAAUCUCUUCAAAGUCUUUAAAUAUUAGGACAAUGUCAAGUUCAUGAGGAUGAAUGCAAGUUUUCUAAAAUUUGAAUUUUCAUUUAAAAGUUUAAAUUGUAUUAUUGGUAACAAAUACUGUCAGGUGUUUUUCCUUGCAGACGCUGGCUUAGUUAAUU